AUACGAUGGUGGGGAAAAAUUCUAAGCAUUUCUUUGAAACGCUCCCACACAUCAUAAAGAUAUUCCCUAUCUUUUUGAGUGAACCGUGUGAUUUGAUCCCUCAAUUU
This is a small nucleolar RNA of Medicago truncatula (barrel medic), 107 nucleotides long. It matches the Rfam family "Plant small nucleolar RNA R71". From Rfam's summary of the family: R71 is a member of the C/D box family of snoRNAs containing the C (UGAUGA) and D (CUGA) box motifs. Multiple nearly identical copies of this snoRNA have been identified in Arabidopsis, and it is thought to function as a 2'-O-ribose methylation guide for 18S ribosomal RNA. The record is from Rfam. NCBI's taxonomy places the organism in Eukaryota, Viridiplantae, Streptophyta, Magnoliopsida, Fabales, Fabaceae.